CCAACGUGCGAGCGGAUGACGGGAGCUUGCUCCUGGAUUCAGCGGCGGACGGGUGAGUAAUGCCUAGGAAUCUGCCUGGUAGUGGGGGAUAACGUCCGGAAACGGGCGCUAAUACCGCAUACGUCCUGAGGGAGAAGGUGGGGGAUCUUCGGACCUCACGCUAUCAAAUGAGCCUAGGUCGGAUUAGCUAGUUGGUGGGGUAAAGGCCUACCAAGGCGACGAUCCGUAACUGGUCUGAGAGGAUGAUCAGUCACACUGGAACUGAGACACGGUCCAGACUCCUACGGGAGGCAGCAGUGGGGAAUAUUGGACAAUGGGCGAAAGCCUGAUCCAGCCAUGCCGCGUGUGUGAAGAAGGUCUUCGGAUUGUAAAGCACUUUAAGUUGGGAGGAAGGGCAGUAAGUUAAUACCUUGCUGUUUUGACGUUCCCAACAGAAUAAGCACCGGCUAACUUCGUGCCAGCAGCCGCGGUAAUACGAAGGGUGCAAGCGUUAAUCGGAAUUACUGGGCGUAGAGCGCGCGUAGGUGGUUCAGCAAGUUGGAUGUGAAAUCCCCGGGCUCAACCUGGGAUCUGCAUCCAAACUACUGAGCUAGAGUACGGUAGAGGGUGGUGGAAUUUCCUGUGUAGCGGUGAAGUGCGUAUAUUAGGAGGGAACACCAGUGGCGAAGGCGACCACCUGGACUGAUACUGACUCUGAGGUGCGAAAGCGUGGGGAGCAACAGGAUUAGAUACCCUGGUAGUCCACGCCGUAACGAUGUCGACUAGCCUUGGGAUCCUUGAGAUCUUAGUGGCGCAUCUACGCGAUAGUCGACCGCCUGGGGGAGUACGGCGCAAGGUUAAACUCAAUGAAUUGACGGGGGGCCCGCACAAGCGGUGGAGCAUGUGGUUU
Molecule: ribosomal RNA, 889 nt
Filed under: Pseudomonas aeruginosa
Lineage: Bacteria; Pseudomonadati; Pseudomonadota; Gammaproteobacteria; Pseudomonadales; Pseudomonadaceae
Description: bacterial SSU rRNA
Rfam family: Bacterial small subunit ribosomal RNA
Source: RNAcentral